AUGUAUCAGGUCCAUUCAAAAUCCAACAUUCACAUAACUCAGUGGGACGUGUCAGUUCGAACAUGUACAAAGCUAUACAAAAAAGCGCAUUCACAAAUUCAGAACAUAAAGUCAUUACAUACAACAUAUUACCAUUCAUUUGAAAAAAUCAACACCAAAGCAUCAUACCAUUCAAAUUCAACUUUCACUCACCACCAAAUUCACAUUCAGAUUCAAUUUAUGUUCGCACUCGUAUUCACGUUCGAAUCCCUUCCAAAUUCACAUAAAAACAGAUUUAACAACUAA
Molecule: non-coding RNA, 285 nt
Organism: Vicia faba (fava bean)
Lineage: Eukaryota; Viridiplantae; Streptophyta; Magnoliopsida; Fabales; Fabaceae
Source: the annotation of a GenBank genome assembly